Molecule: ribosomal RNA, 1372 nt
Filed under: uncultured bacterium
Lineage: Bacteria
Description: bacterial SSU rRNA
Rfam family: Bacterial small subunit ribosomal RNA
Source: RNAcentral
GAUGAACGCUGGCGGCGUGCCUAAUACAUGCAAGUCGAGCGAACGGACGAGAAGCUUGCUUCUCUGAUGUUAGCGGCGGACGGGUGAGUAACACGUGGAUAACCUACCUAUAAGACUGGGAUAACUUCGGGAAACCGGAGCUAAUACCGGAUAAUAUUUUGAACCGCAUGGUUCAAAAGUGAAAGACGGUCUUGCUGUCACUUAUAGAUGGAUCCGCGCUGCAUUAGCUAGUUGGUAAGGUAACGGCUUACCAAGGCAACGAUGCAUAGCCGACCUGAGAGGGUGAUCGGCCACACUGGAACUGAGACACGGUCCAGACUCCUACGGGAGGCAGCAGUAGGGAAUCUUCCGCAAUGGGCGAAAGCCUGACGGAGCAACGCCGCGUGAGUGAUGAAGGUCUUCGGAUCGUAAAACUCUGUUAUUAGGGAAGAACAUAUGUGUAAGUAACUGUGCACAUCUUGACGGUACCUAAUCAGAAAGCCACGGCUAACUACGUGCCAGCAGCCGCGGUAAUACGUAGGUGGCAAGCGUUAUCCGGAAUUAUUGGGCGUAAAGCGCGCGUAGGCGGUUUUUUAAGUCUGAUGUGAAAGCCCACGGCUCACCCGUGGAGGGUCAUUGGAAACUGGAAAACUUGAGUGCAGAAGAGGAAAGUGGAAUUCCAUGUGUAGCGGUGAAAUGCGCAGAGAUAUGGAGGAACACCAGUGGCGAAGGCGACUUUCUGGUCUGUAACUGACGCUGAUGUGCGAAAGCGUGGGGAUCAAACAGGAUUAGAUACCCUGGUAGUCCACGCCGUAAACGAUGAGUGCUAAGUGUUAGGGGGUUUCCGCCCCUUAGUGCUGCAGCUAACGCAUUAAGCACUCCGCCUGGGGAGUACGACCGCAAGGUUGAAACUCAAAGGAAUUGACGGGGACCCGCACAAGCGGUGGAGCAUGUGGUUUAAUUCGAAGCAACGCGAAGAACCUUACCAAAUCUUGACAUCCUUUGACAACUCUAGAGAUAGAGCCUUCCCCUUCGGGGGACAAAGUGACAGGUGGUGCAUGGUUGUCGUCAGCUCGUGUCGUGAGAUGUUGGGUUAAGUCCCGCAACGAGCGCAACCCUUAAGCUUAGUUGCCAUCAUUAAGUUGGGCACUCUAAGUUGACUGCCGGUGACAAACCGGAGGAAGGUGGGGAUGACGUCAAAUCAUCAUGCCCCUUAUGAUUUGGGCUACGCACGUGCUACAAUGGACAAUACAAAGGGCAGCGAAACCGCGAGGUCAAGCAAAUCCCAUAAAGUUGUUCUCAGUUCGGAUUGUAGUCUGCAACUCGACUACUUGAAGCUGGAAUCGCUAGUAAUCGUAGAUCAGCAUGCUACGGUGAAUACGUUCCCGGGUCU